UAUUUGACAUUCAGUAAAUAUUAAUGAAUGAUGACUUUUCUGUGGUGAAAUGCACCCCACUUUCACUGUUCCUUUCGGAUUUGCACUUACUUGGAUACUUGUGGAUGAUUCUGAAGAGCUGGUUGUUCACAUCUGUCUCUGUUAUGUGGCAGAGAUAUUUCUCAUUUAACUUGACAGGGUAUUUCAGGAUGGAGAACACCCUGUAGAAGCCAUUCAUCUGCUCCUCCAGGAUUUCCACGAUGCUGUGGUUGCUCAGGUCCCUCUCUGUCCGGUCCAGCCAUGUCACAAUGGGCGUGAGAAAACUCAAGAUUUUCAGUGCCCUUCACAAAGGAGAAAUGACAGGAGAGGGUAACAUCAGUGAAUGGGUGGGCCCGCAGCUCCUCUGUAGACACCGAGAAUGUCAAAGAAGAAAUGAAGUUAAUAAAGACCAAUCAGCACUGCAUCAGGCUCAACAACACUGCAGUACUGGUCUUCUGGAAGAACAGUUGCCUCUGCCUUAUCAAGAAGCUGGUGAUGCAGGAAGUCAUCACCACGGGUGUUGCUUCCAUAGCCAAUCUGCACCUGCUAGAUUGCACUGGCCAAUGAAAGAAUGCGUCAUGCACUAUAACCUUUCUCCCCACUUCAAUCAGUUGCCAUUUAAUUCUUGAGAAAAUAUAUCUGAUUGGCAGACUCUAAGUCAUUCCCAGAACCCUAACUGCAAAGGAAUCUUGGAAAUAUGUUUUACUCUCCAGUUUCAGCAAUCCAGGAAUGCACAUCAGAAAGGCGGGAAAAGAUGUUCAGUGCCCUCAUCUAAUCAGUUGAAGUUCUAAAUAGAACAAAAAAGCCAACCUUCCUUCAAGUAAGAGGGAACUCCUGCUUUUACUGCUUGAGCAGUCUUUUCCUGCCUUCAGACUCAGACUAGAACUAUACCAUAGACUGUUCUGCACCUCCAGCUCGCUGACUGCAGAUCUUGGGACUUCUCAACCUCCACAAGCACAGCUGCAUGACCCAAUUUCUUCAAAAAAAAAAUCAGGCUCUCUCUCCCUCUCUCUCUACCCCCCCGCCAACCCCCUCUCUCUCUCUUUUCCAGUUUGUUCUGUUUCUCUGGAGAACUCUGACCAUAUCUGGUAACAUUUAUCAAGUAUUUACAAUGUUCUAAACAUAUUCUAGGAGCUUUUCUGGCAUUAAUUCAUUUAAUCUGAUACUAACACUGAGGCAGGUAAUUAUCCCCAAUUUACUACUGAGAAAACCAAGGCACAGUGGGUGAAGUAAGUUACUCAAGGAUACACAGCUAGUGAGCAGUAGAGCUGUCAUUCAAUGCUAGGCAGUCUGACUCCAAAGCUCUCCAACUGAAAUGUGCUCUUUUGUCUCCUAAUAGUAGGCACUGGUUCGAAGUUUGAUGAAUGAAUCAGUGACUAAUUAAAUGAAUUAAUGACUACAAGACAGGCUGGAAAGGAGGCAAAGAGAAAUAACUUGCAUAACCUUUAGAAGGAUUGAUUUGCAAGUAAAAACCUGAAGUGCUUUCUUGCUCAAAUUAUUUUUCUGAAGUGGUUAUCACCAAAAAGCAGUGUUUUAUAAUUUUUGUGGGACUUUAUUUUUGUAAAAUCCUGGUCUGACGAAUUGUAAAUCCAAGUUCUAGUUCUAAGUACCCCCUUACUAAUCAUUUGGCAUCAGGAAAGGCACUUAAUCUCUCUGAGUUAUAGCUUCCUUGUGUAUAAUUAGAAUUAUAACACCUGUCCGAGGUUUUAAUGAAAUACCAUGGGAUCUUACAGACUGUUUUUAUAUGACAUGGCUCGGUCAUUUUCCAGAAGGACAGGAGUAAAGUAGAUGAGUGGACACUUUAGUAAGCUGUUCCCCCACCCCAAUGUCUCUCACAAGAAUAUGUAGUUUACCCAUGAGUGGUCCUUGAUUCUACCUUCUCCAGUUGUACUCAGGAGUUCUUGCUACAGUUGUACCCUUUCUGGCCCAAGGGAAGGGGUCUCAAACUCAGGGAUCCAAAGGCUCUAGCCAAUGCAUCAUGAAACACAACUUCCUGCUGAUGUAACUAGUAUAAAGGACAAUUUCUAACUGAUAUGUCUGCAGAUGGCCCUGCUUGAAUCUGAGUAACUCCUUUGUCUAUUUCAAUCUGUGUUAUUUCUAAACCAUGUGUCUUUAGCUUCCCAAGCCUUAAGAGGCCGAGGCAAAAGCUCAGAAAAAGGUUAAUAAUGUGGGAAAACACUUAGAAAAAUGUAGAAAGAUACUGUCUAACGCAUCUGCCAUGGUACCUAGCACAUAGUAUUAAGUUCUUAAUAUUGCUACAAAAUGUGAGAUUAGAAUCAACAGAUCAUUCUCUUUCUUGCCUACAUACAUACCUAUUCCUUUAUUUGGUUGAGUUUUUCCUAACUAUGAGUGGAUUACCACCUUACUUUUCUUACUGCUCUCCUCUACCCGCACACACACACACACCCCCCAACACCCAGCCCCCCCGCCCUCCUCCCCACCACACACACACACACACACACACACACACACACACAGAAUAAUCAAACAUCAAGAGAAAAGAGCCAGCAAAUGUAACCUGGGUUGACCAGGCCUUGUACUAACUCCUGAGUUGAACUCUGGAGCCUGAGGAUGCCUUCAAGCUGCUGCCACCUUUAAGGGACUGACAGAACUGCUGCAGGUCUCUGGAAGAUGGCAUAAGCCUGAAGACUAUAAAUGUGUUUGAUCACUUUAUGGAGUAGUUAUACAGCCAGAUUUGGGAUACACAGUGUUUUUUUAAAAAACUUUUGCUUAUGGACUUUUGGUUAGCUGAAUCAUAUUAACAUUUCCAACAUCUGUAUAUUGUUUGUCACCAAGAGAGUUGAAGAUUUGAGUACAAAAAGACUUACAUAAACCCUUUGUUGACUGCCCAUCCAGAUUUUUCAGGACAGACCUGAUUUCAAAUAUUUUGGAUGCUACACUAUAAAUUGGCACUUGUCAGAGUCACUUGAAAGUGGGUGUCUAGUAUUGUUUUGUUUGGUUUGGUUGGGAGGUUCACACUAUAGAUACGACUGAGAUUAGUCAUUCAGAUAUGGCUUCAAAUGGACAAACCAAAUUGGGGGGGGUGGGGUGGAAGUUUUUCUCAUUUAAAAAAAGAAAGCAGAAUAAACAAUAAUGAUUUAUAAUAUGUGUCUGUUAUUUUCUCCCAUCUGCUCUUAACCAUUUCCUAUGAAGUAAAUAUAGAUUUUUAAAAUAAAUACAAUUUUUCCUGUAAAAAAUAAAUUUGUUAUUUUCAUAUAACAAAUGAAAAGAAUGAGAUUCAGAGAGAUUAUGUCGUUUAUCUCCAAACAAAUGUUUUCCUCACUAUCCCCAAAGCUAUUUCAUAAAUGCCCACAAAGUUUUUUGAAAAAUGACUCACCUGCACUGUGAAGAAGUAUGUUAACAGUCACCA
RNAcentral lists this long non-coding RNA (3388 nucleotides) under Homo sapiens (human). RNAcentral's name for it is "HSALNT0059438". The record is from RNAcentral. Lineage: Eukaryota; Metazoa; Chordata; Mammalia; Primates; Hominidae.